GGAGGACUCGCUGGAUCCAUGAAAAAAAGACAAAGAAAAAAGUCUCCAGUUCCUACAGUGUGCACCUGAUGUGGACGUAAACACACUCAAGUAAAAGCCAGAGUCAGAAGAGCAACUGCACACCACUUGAACACUUGACAGCCAGUGGUUUAAAGGUGUCAGAAUGCGUCAUCCAAAGUGCUUGCUGGAACGUCAAACAGCAUCUGAAAUUGGGGGGCUGCAUCUGACAAUUGUUGCAACUUUCUCAAACUGGCAAACAGUGAUUGGCAAGUGUGUGUGGAGUGUCAUUGGUUUUCAGUCUCAACUUUCUGUCAGCAUUUUGGUGAAGAGAGGAGGGCCUACAUUACCCAGUAUGCCUUGCAGUCCAAUGAAGAUAUCCAAGGGCGAGGGCAUCAUGGUGAAGAUUUUGAGCCAGACUCUUGUAAUUUUCGCUCUAUUAUUAAGCGUCCUCCCCAGAAAUUGCCUAGUUCUCAACACACCUACCUGACUGUACUGUGACAAAAUAAUCAACUCAAAGCUCCACUAACACUUUUUUCUCACAAAAAA
Molecule: long non-coding RNA, 546 nt
Organism: Thunnus maccoyii (southern bluefin tuna)
Lineage: Eukaryota; Metazoa; Chordata; Actinopteri; Scombriformes; Scombridae
Exons: 3
Source: RefSeq, a predicted model, not a curated record